AAAGAGAAGACUCACGCGGGGGAACGCGUGGUGGUGGCGGCGGCGGCGGCCCCGAAUGGGGAGCCACCCUGUCGGAAUCAAUGGGCGGACGCCUGCCGCGAUGCCGAGCGUGAUAUGAAGCAUGGGCGCUCGAGCGCGGCGAGGCUCCCAGCCCCUGGCCCAUGGGUCUGGGCGGGGAGGGCAAGACACU
This 190-nucleotide unclassified non-coding RNA is filed under the name uncultured Helvella. RNAcentral describes it as "sequence contains ITS2". The record is from RNAcentral. Lineage: Eukaryota; Fungi; Ascomycota; Pezizomycetes; Pezizales; Helvellaceae.